AUUUUCCUUUUUUUUUUUUUGUCAAUUCCAUACCAUGUCCUUCAAUCUGUUUAGUUGUCCCUCGAAUUUGUUAAUGGAAAUUUGACUGGGAAUGGUUGCCAUAAAAUUAUUUUUUUGCCAAAUGCAGCACAUGCCAUAUAUUCUUUACGUUAAUAAGUAACAGCUAUUUAAUUUAGAUGAUUAAGAAAAAGCUGUUAAAAUUGAAACCCAAUUGAACACAAAAUCGCACUCUCUCCCUAAUCUUUCCCCUCUACCUGCCACAAUUACUUCAAGAAACCUCACCCAUUUUUUGCCUAUGCUCACCAUUUCAGAAUUUUCCUCAACUAGCUUCUGUAGUUAUCCUUGUCGUCAUCAUCUAUUUUCCUAAAUCUAAACAAACUAUCCAUCUCUCCCAAGCUGCCAAAAUGAUGUCACUUUGCAAGAGAGGUGCAAGAUCAUUGUCUUGAUAAAUUAUAGUCAUUACAUGCUUCUCUUUAGAGAUAAAUAGGCAGACUCAGGCACAUGGAUGCAACUAAUUGAGUUCCGCAAGACCUCUCUCAUUUUCACAAGGAAACCACCAACCUCUAUUGAGAUAUGAAACAAGCUCAAUUCAGAGUAGGUGUUCCCCUUUCCUGUGGAUUUCAUGCUUCUGUUUCCAAGUGCAACUUCUUAUGGGAUAUGUGCUUAUUGAGAUUCUUUUGAUUUAUGCUUCUAACAAGGAAACUACUCAAACUUUGAAACUAGAGUUUCUGUACUUUAAUCAUCAUAAAUCAGAUUUGGAUCCUUACAGGAUUUUAUUGAUUUAUUCGAUGGUUGAUGUUUGAUUUGGGCUUUUUCAUUAAGAAGACAUACAAGCCAGUGUGAUUUGUCUACAAAUGUAACACAGAAGUUCUAAUUUUUAGUUGCGUUGCUGGCAUAAUCAUUAAAGGCACAAGGUACACUAAAACACAAACACAAAGUACUAGGCGCAAGUCAUAGGCAUGUGCUUGAGUAAGGUUAGGCACAAAAAGAAUUUGAUGCAGUAAAAAUUUAAAAUUAAGAUCAACAUAUUAGCUCUAUUUAACCAAAUUGACCAACGUAAACAAUCUUCAAAGCAUCAGUCCAUAGUUAACCAUAUAGUCACAAGGAAAAUACACAAAUCAUUAUAGACUUCACAUUAACAAUUUCUUUUUCUCUAAGACAAUGCUAUGAUCCAAAGCCCACAAGUG
RNAcentral lists this unclassified non-coding RNA (1187 nucleotides) under Hevea brasiliensis (rubber tree). Lineage: Eukaryota; Viridiplantae; Streptophyta; Magnoliopsida; Malpighiales; Euphorbiaceae. The record is from RNAcentral.